UGCAGUCGAGGGGUAUAGCACUUCGGUGCUAGAGACCGGCGCACGGGUGCGUAACGCGUAUGCAAUCUACCUUUCACAGAGGGAUAGCCCAGAGAAAUUUGGAUUAAUACCUCAUAGCAUAACGACCUGGCAUCAGGAUGUUAUUAAAGUCACAACGGUGAAAGAUGAGCAUGCGUCCCAUUAGCUAGUUGGUAAGGUAACGGCUUACCAAGGCUACGAUGGGUAGGGGUCCUGAGAGGGAGAUCCCCCACACUGGUACUGAGACACGGACCAGACUCCUACGGGAGGCAGCAGUGAGGAAUAUUGGACAAUGGGCGCAAGCCUGAUCCAGCCAUGCCGCGUGCAGGAUGACGGUCCUAUGGAUUGUAAACUGCUUUUAUACGAGAAGAAACAACAUUACGUGUAAUGUCUUGACGGUAUCGUAAGAAUAAGGAUCGGCUAACUCCGUGCCAGCAGCCGCGGUAAUACGGAGGAUCCAAGCGUUAUCCGGAAUCAUUGGGUUUAAAGGGUCCGUAGGCGGUUUGGUAAGUCAGUGGUGAAAGCCCAUCGCUCAACGGUGGAACGGCCAUUGAUACUGCCAGACUUGAAUUAUUAGGAAGUAACUAGAAUAUGUAGUGUAGCGGUGAAAUGCUUAAGAGAUUACAUGGAAUACCAAUUGCGAAAGGCAGGGUUACUACUAAAGGAUUGACGCUUG
Molecule: ribosomal RNA, 694 nt
Filed under: Flavobacterium resistens
Lineage: Bacteria; Pseudomonadati; Bacteroidota; Flavobacteriia; Flavobacteriales; Flavobacteriaceae
Description: bacterial SSU rRNA
Rfam family: Bacterial small subunit ribosomal RNA
Source: RNAcentral